This 596-nucleotide ribosomal RNA is filed under the name Torulaspora delbrueckii. RNAcentral describes it as "eukaryotic LSU rRNA". It matches the Rfam family "Eukaryotic large subunit ribosomal RNA", at positions 65 to 664 of the family's 3401-position model. The record is from RNAcentral. Lineage: Eukaryota; Fungi; Ascomycota; Saccharomycetes; Saccharomycetales; Saccharomycetaceae.
CCAACCGGGGGUAAGCCUUAGUACGGCGAGUGAGCGGCAAAAGCUCAAAUUUGAAAUCUGGUACCUUCGGUGCCCGAGUUGUAAUUUGUAGAAGGUAACUUUGGGGCUGGUCCUUGUCUAUGUUCCUUGGAACAGGACGUCAUAGAGGGUGAGAAUCCCGUGUGGCGAGGAUCCCAGUUCUUUGUAAAGUGCUUUCGAAGAGUCGAGUUGUUUGGGAAUGCAGCUCUAAGUGGGUGGUAAAUUCCAUCUAAAGCUAAAUAUUGGCGAGAGACCGAUAGCGAACAAGUACAGUGAUGGAAAGAUGAAAAGAACUUUGAAAAGAGAGUGAAAAAGUACGUGAAAUUGUUGAAAGGGAAGGGCAUUUGAUCAGACAUGGUGUUUUGCGCCCUCUGCUCCUUGUGGGUGGGGGAAUCUCGCAGCUCACUGGGCCAGCAUCAGUUUUGGCGGCAGGAUAAAUCUGCAGGAAUGUAGCUUGCCUCGGUAAGUGUUAUAUCCUGUAGAAAUACUGCCAGCUGGGACUGAGGACUGCGACUUUACGUCAAGGAUGCUGGCAUAAUGGUUAUAUGCCGCCCGUCUUGAACACACGGGACCCAAAA